RNAcentral lists this non-coding RNA (145 nucleotides) under Otolemur garnettii (small-eared galago). The record is from Rfam by way of RNAcentral. Lineage: Eukaryota; Metazoa; Chordata; Mammalia; Primates; Galagidae.
GCCGGGUGUUGUGGUGGGCACCUGUGGUCCCAGCUACUUGGGAGGCUGAGGUGGGAGACUCGCUUGAGCCCAGGAGUUGGAGGUUACUGUGAGCUGUGAUGCCACAGUACUCUACCAAGAGCAAUAAAGUGAGACUCUGUCUCUA